RNAcentral lists this ribosomal RNA (566 nucleotides) under uncultured bacterium. Its description in RNAcentral is "bacterial SSU rRNA". It matches the Rfam family "Bacterial small subunit ribosomal RNA", at positions 28 to 570 of the family's 1533-position model. The record is from RNAcentral.
GACGAACGCUGGCGGCGUGCUUAAUAAAUGCGAGUCGAACGGGGAUAGUCUGCUUCGGCGGUCUUCGGACCAAUGAUUGGGCUAUUCUAGUGGCGAGCGGGUGAGUAACACGUGGGUAACGUGCCUCGGCGUCUGGGACAACAGCGGGAAACUGCUGCUAAUACCGGAUGGUAUCGGUGGGGGGCCUCCCCUGCCGAUUAAAGGCGCAGGUCGCGCCGAGAUCGGCCCGCGGCCCAUUAGCUUGUUGGUGAGGUAACGGCUCACCAAGGCGAUGAUGGGUAGCCGGUUUGAGAGGAUGGCCGGCCACACUGGGACUGAGACAUGGUCCAGACUCCUACGGGAGUUAGCAUUAGGGAAUCUUGCACAAUGGGCGAAAGCCUGAUGCAGCGACGCCGCGUGGGUGAUGAAGGCCUUAUGGGUCGUAAAGCCCUGUCAGGAGAGACGAAUGCCCCCGCUGAGGGGGAGUGACGCUAUCUCCAGAGGAAGCCCCCGGCUAACUACGUGCCAGCAGCCGCGGUAACACGUAGGGGGCCAGCGUUGUCCGGAUUUACUGGGCGUAAGAGCGC